GACGAACGCUGGCGGCGUGCUUAACACAUGCAAGUCGAGCGGUAAGGCCCUUUCGGGGGUACACGAGCGGCGAACGGGUGAGUAACACGUGGGUGACCUGCCCUCAGCUCUGGGAUAAGCCUGGGAAACCGGGUCUAAUACCGGAUAUGACUCCAUGACGCAUGUUGUGGGGUGGAAAGCCUUGUGCGGCUGAGGAUGGGCCCGCGGCCUAUCAGCUUGUUGGUGGGGUGAUGGCCUACCAAGGCGACGACGGGUAGCCGGCCUGAGAGGGCGACCGGCCACACUGGGACUGAGACACGGCCCAGACUCCUACGGGAGGCAGCAGUGGGGAAUAUUGGACAAUGGGCGCAAGCCUGAUCCAGCAAUGCCGCGUGUGUGAAGAAGGCCUGCGGGUUGUAAAGCACGUUCAGUCGGGAGGAAAGGGGUUGGUGAAUAGCCGGCUCACUUGACGUAACCGACAGAAGAAGCACCGGCUAACUCCGUGCCAGCCGCCGACCGU
This 499-nucleotide ribosomal RNA is filed under the name uncultured bacterium. Its description in RNAcentral is "bacterial SSU rRNA". It matches the Rfam family "Bacterial small subunit ribosomal RNA", at positions 28 to 521 of the family's 1533-position model. The record is from RNAcentral.